AUUGAACGCUGGCGGCAUGCCUUACACAUGCAAGUCGAACGGUAACGGGCCUUCGGGUGCCGACGAGUGGCGAACGGGUGAGUAAUACAUCGGAACGUGCCCGAUCGUGGGGGAUAACGAGGCGAAAGCUUUGCUAAUACCGCAUACGAUCUACGGAUGCAAGCAGGGGACCGCAAGGCCUUGCGCGGACGGAGCGGCCGAUGGCAGAUUAGGUAGUUGGUGGGAUAAAAGCUUACCAAGCCGACGAUCUGUAGCUGGUCUGAGAGGAUGAUCAGCCACACUGGGACUGAGACACGGCCCAGACUCCUACGGGAGGCAGCAGUGGGGAAUUUUGGACAAUGGGCGCAAGCCUGAUCCAGCCAUGCCGCGUGCAGGAUGAAGGCCUUCGGGUUGUAAACUGCUUUUGUACGGAACGAAAAGCCUUCUUUUAAUACAGGAGGGUCAUGACGGUACCGUAAGAAUAAGCCCCGGCUAACUACGUG
RNAcentral lists this ribosomal RNA (482 nucleotides) under uncultured bacterium. Its description in RNAcentral is "partial 16S ribosomal RNA". It matches the Rfam family "Bacterial small subunit ribosomal RNA", at positions 30 to 507 of the family's 1533-position model. The record is from RNAcentral.